Mycena latifolia is the source of this 92-nucleotide non-coding RNA. Lineage: Eukaryota; Fungi; Basidiomycota; Agaricomycetes; Agaricales; Mycenaceae. The record is from the annotation of a GenBank genome assembly.
GUCUUCGUGGAGUAUGGUGCUCGCUCCCACUCGAUAACAUAUCGGUGGCGUGGUAUAUGGGAGAGACGGUGGUUCGACUCCACCCGAGGACA